Molecule: non-coding RNA, 7644 nt
Organism: Oncorhynchus mykiss (rainbow trout)
Lineage: Eukaryota; Metazoa; Chordata; Actinopteri; Salmoniformes; Salmonidae
Source: RefSeq, a predicted model, not a curated record
AGGAAAAACAUUGAUGUAUGGAGAUUAAGGGAGAUAAGAGGUAUGUGGUAACAUGAGUGAUGGAAGCAGCCUGAAUAAGAAAAAUAUAUACAAAUUGUAUGUGUGUGUGUGCGCAUGUGCAUGACCCUGUACGUGCCUCUGUGUGGGAUUUGGAGAAAAACAGGGAGAGAGCUUGAGAGACAAUCCCAGAGAGACUGUGUGUUGAACCCGCUGCCCCCUAAUACCCCUACCUGCUCCCUGCAUGCUUUGCCAUGGUUACGAGACAGGGCUCCCAGUUAAUGUGUUUUUCAGCAGGGGUGAGCUGGGUACUAAUGUGUCUCAGUCUGUCUCCUCAGCAAAUGGCACAAUCAAUAUCAACUGUCCCAGGAUGCACCACCACUAGCAGAGGGCCAGGAAAACCACCAAGCUCCCUGCAAGGCUGAAUAAUGUAAGCCUGGGAAAACGCUUGGGCUUCUUCUGGAUGAUCUGGACAUGCUACAACACCAAAAGAUGAAUUACCGCCACCAACUGGACGACGUUGAAAAAAACAAGUCUGUCUCCUCAGCAAAUGGCACAAUCAAUAUCAACUGUCCCAGGAUGCACCACCACUAGCAGAGGGCCAGGAAAACCACCAAGCUCCCUGCAAGGCUGAAUAAUGUAAGCCUGGGAAAACGCUUGGGCUUCUUCUGGAUGAUCUGGACAUGCUACAACACCAAAAGAUGAAUUACCGCCACCAACUGGACGACGUUGAAAAAAACAAGGUAAAAAUAAAACAUGAUAGGGAAAACAAAUCCACCCAAAAUAAAACAAUAAAAACCACAUUGACAAAACCAAAACCCCCAAACACCCACUUCUUCUAUCCUUCAAAUCCCCAUAUCUCCCUUCUUCUGACUAUCCUAGUUAAAUAAAGGUUAAAUAAUGUAUUCAUGUUUAAUUCUCACCUGAGAGGCUUGUGACAAUACUCCAUGCAACUCCUCUGCCAAGAAGUCUUUCAGUCCCAGGAAACAUUCCGUCGCAUCCACAACAAUGUCUAUUUUCCAGGACUUCCUCUCCACCUUGGCAGUGCCAUUAAUCACCAUAGCUAUAAAGGCCACAAAGUCCACCUUCUGUACCUUUAACAUAUCUGGGUUCUGCCAUUGAACGGUAACCCCUGCAGCCUUCAGUGAAUGCCUAUCCACCACCAUGGACUACUCAGGAGCAGCAUUUGAACCCUCAACCCUUUUAAAUGCCCUAAGUGGGUGGGUCGCGAACAGGUGUCACUGGCGUGAAAAGCAAGCCCCCCACGCAUCACGCCAAUAGGGUUAACCCACUUGGUGGGAAUUGCAAGGUGGCUCAUUAGGGAGGAUCACUACAGUAUAGCUGAGAACUUUUACAGCUUCUGUAUAAAAUAAUAUGGCAUAGUGAAAAUAUACAGUAUAUCAAGCACUACUUUUGUUAUUUUCGCACAACUUGAUUUGCUACCCCUUUAUUUUCGCUACCUCUAUAUUUUGUUCUCAUGUCUCCAUAGACAGGAAAAAGAUUGAUGUAUGGAGAUUAAGGGAGAUAAGAGGUAUGUGGUAACAUGAGUGAUGGAAGCAGCCUGAAUAAGAAAAAUAUAUACAAAUUGUAUGUGCGUGUGUGCGCAUGUGCAUGACCCUGUACGUGCCUCUGUGUGGGAUUUGGAGAAAAACAGGGAGAGAGCUUGAGAGACAAUCCCAGAGAGACUGUGUGUUGAACCCGCUGCCCCCUAAUACCCCUACCUGCUCCCUGCAUGCUUUGCCAUGGUUACGAGACAGGGCUCCCAGUUAAUGUGUUUUUCAGCAGGGGUGAGCUGGGUACUAAUGUGUCUCAGUCUGUCUCCUCAGCAAAUGGCACAAUCAAUAUCAACUGUCCCAGGAUGCACCACCACUAGCAGAGGGCCAGGAAAACCACCAAGCUCCCUGCAAGGCUGAAUAAUGUAAGCCUGGGAAAACGCUUGGGCUUCUUCUGGAUGAUCUGGACAUGCUACAACACCAAAAGAUGAAUUACCGCCACCAACUGGACGACGUUGAAAAAAACAAGGUAAAAAUAAAACAUGAUAGGGAAAACAAAUCCACCCAAAAUAAAACAAUAAAAACCACAUUGACAAAACCAAAACCCCCAAACACCCACUUCUUCUAUCCUUCAAAUCCCCAUAUCUCCCUUCUUCUGACUAUCCUAGUUAAAUAAAGGUUAAAUAAUGUAUUCAUGUUUAAUUCUCACCUGAGAGGCUUGUGACAGUACUCCAUGCAACUCCUCUGCCAAGAAGUCUUUCAGUCCCAGGAAACAUUCCGUCGCAUCCACAACAAUGUCUAUUUUCCAGGACUUCCUCUCCACCUUGGCAGUGCCAUUAAUCACCAUAGCUAUAAAGGCCACAAAGUCCACCUUCUGUACCUUUAACAUAUCUGGGUUCUGCCAUUGAACGGUAACCCCUGCAGCCUUCAGUGAAUGCCUAUCCACCACCAUGGACUACUCAGGAGCAGCAUUUGAACCCUCAACCCUUUUAAAUGCCCUAAGUGGGUGGGUCGCGAACAGGUGUCACUGGCGUGAAAAGCAAGCCCCCCACGCAUCACGCCAAUAGGGUUAACCCACUUGGUGGGAAUUGCAAGGUGGCUCAUUAGGGAGGAUCACUACAGUAUAGCUGAGAACUUUUACAGCUUCUGUAUAAAAUAAUAUGGCAUAGUGAAAAUAUACAGUAUAUCAAGCACUACUUUUGUUAUUUUCGCACAACUUGAUUUGCUACCCCUUUAUUUUCGCUACCUCUAUAUUUUGUUCUCAUGUCUCCAUAGACAGGAAAAAGAUUGAUGUAUGGAGAUUAAGGGAGAUAAGAGGUAUGUGGUAACAUGAGUGAUGGAAGCAGCCUGAAUAAGAAAAAUAUAUACAAAUUGUAUGUGCGUGUGUGCGCAUGUGCAUGACCCUGUACGUGCCUCUGUGUGGGAUUUGGAGAAAAACAGGGAGAGAGCUUGAGAGACAAUCCCAGAGAGACUGUGUGUUGAACCCGCUGCCCCCUAAUACCCCUACCUGCUCCCUGCAUGCUUUGCCAUGGUUACGAGACAGGGCUCCCAGUUAAUGUGUUUUUCAGCAGGGGUGAGCUGGGUACUAAUGUGUCUCAGUCUGUCUCCUCAGCAAAUGGCACAAUCAAUAUCAACUGUCCCAGGAUGCACCACCACUAGCAGAGGGCCAGGAAAACCACCAAGCUCCCUGCAAGGCUGAAUAAUGUAAGCCUGGGAAAACGCUUGGGCUUCUUCUGGAUGAUCUGGACAUGCUACAACACCAAAAGAUGAAUUACCGCCACCAACUGGACGACGUUGAAAAAAACAAGGUAAAAAUAAAACAUGAUAGGGAAAACAAAUCCACCCAAAAUAAAACAAUAAAAACCACAUUGACAAAACCAAAACCCCCAAACACCCACUUCUUCUAUCCUUCAAAUCCCCAUAUCUCCCUUCUUCUGACUAUCCUAGUUAAAUAAAGGUUAAAUAAUGUAUUCAUGUUUAAUUCUCACCUGAGAGGCUUGUGACAAUACUCCAUGCAACUCCUCUGCCAAGAAGUCUUUCAGUCCCAGGAAACAUUCCGUCGCAUCCACAACAAUGUCUAUUUUCCAGGACUUCCUCUCCACCUUGGCAGUGCCAUUAAUCACCAUAGCUAUAAAGGCCACAAAGUCCACCUUCUGUACCUUUAACAUAUCUGGGUUCUGCCAUUGAACGGUAACCCCUGCAGCCUUCAGUGAAUGCCUAUCCACCACCAUGGACUACUCAGGAGCAGCAUUUGAACCCUCAACCCUUUUAAAUGCCCUAAGUGGGUGGGUCGCGAACAGGUGUCACUGGCGUGAAAAGCAAGCCCCCCACGCAUCACGCCAAUAGGGUUAACCCACUUGGUGGGAAUUGCAAGGUGGCUCAUUAGGGAGGAUCACUACAGUAUAGCUGAGAACUUUUACAGCUUCUGUAUAAAAUAAUAUGGCAUAGUGAAAAUAUACAGUAUAUCAAGCACUACUUUUGUUAUUUUCGCACAACUUGAUUUGCUACCCCUUUAUUUUCGCUACCUCUAUAUUUUGUUCUCAUGUCUCCAUAGACAGGAAAAAGAUUGAUGUAUGGAGAUUAAGGGAGAUAAGAGGUAUGUGGUAACAUGAGUGAUGGAAGCAGCCUGAAUAAGAAAAAUAUAUACAAAUUGUAUGUGCGUGUGUGCGCAUGUGCAUGACCCUGUACGUGCCUCUGUGUGGGAUUUGGAGAAAAACAGGGAGAGAGCUUGAGAGACAAUCCCAGAGAGACUGUGUGUUGAACCCGCUGCCCCCUAAUACCCCUACCUGCUCCCUGCAUGCUUUGCCAUGGUUACGAGACAGGGCUCCCAGUUAAUGUGUUUUUCAGCAGGGGUGAGCUGGGUACUAAUGUGUCUCAGUCUGUCUCCUCAGCAAAUGGCACAAUCAAUAUCAACUGUCCCAGGAUGCACCACCACUAGCAGAGGGCCAGGAAAACCACCAAGCUCCCUGCAAGGCUGAAUAAUGUAAGCCUGGGAAAACGCUUGGGCUUCUUCUGGAUGAUCUGGACAUGCUACAACACCAAAAGAUGAAUUACCGCCACCAACUGGACGACGUUGAAAAAAACAAGGUAAAAAUAAAACAUGAUAGGGAAAACAAAUCCACCCAAAAUAAAACAAUAAAAACCACAUUGACAAAACCAAAACCCCCAAACACCCACUUCUUCUAUCCUUCAAAUCCCCAUAUCUCCCUUCUUCUGACUAUCCUAGUUAAAUAAAGGUUAAAUAAUGUAUUCAUGUUUAAUUCUCACCUGAGAGGCUUGUGACAAUACUCCAUGCAACUCCUCUGCCAAGAAGUCUUUCAGUCCCAGGAAACAUUCCGUCGCAUCCACAACAAUGUCUAUUUUCCAGGACUUCCUCUCCACCUUGGCAGUGCCAUUAAUCACCAUAGCUAUAAAGGCCACAAAGUCCACCUUCUGUACCUUUAACAUAUCUGGGUUCUGCCAUUGAACGGUAACCCCUGCAGCCUUCAGUGAAUGCCUAUCCACCACCAUGGACUACUCAGGAGCAGCAUUUGAACCCUCAACCCUUUUAAAUGCCCUAAGUGGGUGAGUCGCGAACAGGUGUCACUGGCGUGAAAAGCAAGCCCCCCACGCAUCACGCCAAUAGGGUUAACCCACUUGGUGGGAAUUGCAAGGUGGCUCAUUAGGGAGGAUCACUACAGUAUAGCUGAGAACUUUUACAGCUUCUGUAUAAAAUAAUAUGGCAUAGUGAAAAUAUACAGUAUAUCAAGCACUACUUUUGUUAUUUUCGCACAACUUGAUUUGCUACCCCUUUAUUUUCGCUACCUCUAUAUUUUGUUCUCAUGUCUCCAUAGACAGGAAAAAGAUUGAUGUAUGGAGAUUAAGGGAGAUAAGAGGUAUGUGGUAACAUGAGUGAUGGAAGCAGCCUGAAUAAGAAAAAUAUAUACAAAUUGUAUGUGCGUGUGUGCGCAUGUGCAUGACCCUGUACGUGCCUCUGUGUGGGAUUUGGAGAAAAACAGGGAGAGAGCUUGAGAGACAAUCCCAGAGAGACUGUGUGUUGAACCCGCUGCCCCCUAAUACCCCUACCUGCUCCCUGCAUGCUUUGCCAUGGUUACGAGACAGGGCUCCCAGUUAAUGUGUUUUUCAGCAGGGGUGAGCUGGGUACUAAUGUGUCUCAGUCUGUCUCCUCAGCAAAUGGCACAAUCAAUAUCAACUGUCCCAGGAUGCACCACCACUAGCAGAGGGCCAGGAAAACCACCAAGCUCCCUGCAAGGCUGAAUAAUGUAAGCCUGGGAAAACGCUUGGGCUUCUUCUGGAUGAUCUGGACAUGCUACAACACCAAAAGAUGAAUUACCGCCACCAACUGGACGACGUUGAAAAAAACAAGACAGGAAAAAGAUUGAUGUAUGGAGAUUAAGGGAGAUAAGAGGUAUGUGGUAACAUGAGUGAUGGAAGCAGCCUGAAUAAGAAAAAUAUAUACAAAUUGUAUGUGUGUGUGUGCGCAUGUGCAUGACCCUGUACGUGCCUCUGUGUGGGAUUUGGAGAAAAACAGGGAGAGAGCUUGAGAGACAAUCCCAGAGAGACUGUGUGUUGAACCCGCUGCCCCCUAAUACCCCUCCCUACCUGCUCCCUGCAUGCUUUGCCAUGGUUACGAGACAGGGCUCCCAGUUAAUGUGUUUUUCAGCAGGGGUGAGCUGGGUACUAAUGUGUCUCAGUCUGUCUCCUCAGCAAAUGGCACAAUCAAUAUCAACUGUCCCAGGAUGCACCACCACUAGCAGAGGGCCAGGAAAACCACCAAGCUCCCUGCAAGGCUGAAUAAUGUAAGCCUGGGAAAACGCUUGGGCUUCUUCUGGAUGAUCUGGACAUGCUACAACACCAAAAGAUGAAUUACCGCCACCAACUGGACGACGUUGAAAAAAACAAGACAGGAAAAAGAUUGAUGUAUGGAGAUUAAGGGAGAUAAGAGGUAUGUGGUAACAUGAGUGAUGGAAGCAGCCUGAAUAAGAAAAAUAUAUACAAAUUGUAUGUGUGUGUGUGCGCAUGUGCAUGACCCUGUACGUGCCUCUGUGUGGGAUUUGGAGAAAAACAGGGAGAGAGCUUGAGAGACAAUCCCAGAGAGACUGUGUGUUGAACCCGCUGCCCCCUAAUACCCCUCCCUACCUGCUCCCUGCAUGCUUUGCCAUGGUUACGAGACAGGGCUCCCAGUUAAUGUGUUUUUCAGCAGGGGUGAGCUGGGUACUAAUGUGUCUCAGUCUGUCUCCUCAGCAAAUGGCACAAUCAAUAUCAACUGUCCCAGGAUGCACCACCACUAGCAGAGGGCCAGGAAAACCACCAAGCUCCCUGCAAGGCUGAAUAAUGUAAGCCUGGGAAAACGCUUGGGCUUCUUCUGGAUGAUCUGGACAUGCUACAACACCAAAAGAUGAAUUACCGCCACCAACUGGACGACGUUGAAAAAAACAAGACAGGAAAAAGAUUGAUGUAUGGAGAUUAAGGGAGAUAAGAGGUAUGUGGUAACAUGAGUGAUGGAAGCAGCCUGAAUAAGAAAAAUAUAUACAAAUUGUAUGUGUGUGUGUGCGCAUGUGCAUGACCCUGUACGUGCCUCUGUGUGGGAUUUGGAGAAAAACAGGGAGAGAGCUUGAGAGACAAUCCCAGAGAGACUGUGUGUUGAACCCGCUGCCCCCUAAUACCCCUACCUGCUCCCUGCAUGCUUUGCCAUGGUUACGAGACAGGGCUCCCAGUUAAUGUGUUUUUCAGCAGGGGUGAGCUGGGUACUAAUGUGUCUCAGUCUGUCUCCUCAGCAAAUGGCACAAUCAAUAUCAACUGUCCCAGGAUGCACCACCACUAGCAGAGGGCCAGGAAAACCACCAAGCUCCCUGCAAGGCUGAAUAAUGUAAGCCUGGGAAAACGCUUGGGCUUCUUCUGGAUGAUCUGGACAUGCUACAACACCAAAAGAUGAAUUACCGCCACCAACUGGAGGACGUUGAAAAAAACAAGGUAAAAAUAAAACAUGAUAGGGAAAACAAAUCCACCCAAAAUAAAACAAUAAAAACCACAUUGACAAAACCAAAACCCCCAAACACCCACUUCUUCUAUCCUUCAAAUCCCCAUAUCUCCCUUCUUCUGACUAUCCUAGUUAAAUAAAGGUUAAAUAAUGUAUUCAUGUUUAAUUCUCACC